RNAcentral lists this ribosomal RNA (258 nucleotides) under uncultured Desulfobulbus sp. RNAcentral describes it as "partial 16S ribosomal RNA". It matches the Rfam family "Bacterial small subunit ribosomal RNA", at positions 1125 to 1382 of the family's 1533-position model. Lineage: Bacteria; Pseudomonadati; Thermodesulfobacteriota; Desulfobulbia; Desulfobulbales; Desulfobulbaceae. The record is from RNAcentral.
GUUCGGCUGGGCACUCUAAAGGGACUGCCGGUGUUAAACCGGAGGAAGUGGGAGUGAACGUCAAGUCCUCAUGGCCUUUAUGACCAGGGCUACACACGUACUACAAUGGCCGAUACAAAGGGCAGCGACACUGCGAGGUGAAGCCAAUCCCGUAAAAUCGGUCUCAGUCCGGAUUGGAGUCUGCAACUCGACUCCAUGAAGUUGGAAUCGCUAGUAAUCGUGGAUCAGCAUGCCACGGUGAAUACGUUCCCGGGCCUU